Molecule: non-coding RNA, 214 nt
Organism: Oryza sativa Japonica Group (Japanese rice)
Lineage: Eukaryota; Viridiplantae; Streptophyta; Magnoliopsida; Poales; Poaceae
Source: RefSeq, a predicted model, not a curated record
AUCCCUGCUGCUAAGUAACUGAGGUAAAGAAGAUUAUCCCUGACACUAUUUCAGAGUGUAAAACAUCACCAAAAAGGUGAUUGUGGAAAGGAAACCUAACAAUUGAAGUUAUCUACUUCAGCAUGACAAAAAAAAUGUUGCACUUAUAAUAAGUAGACUAAACAAACACCCACAUAACUAACGCACGAACUAGUAAAUCCCCUGAAAAAAAAAA